AGGUCGGGUUGAGGGAAAUUUUGAAUCAUGCCGUUUUACCUCUCCCAAGCCUCGUACAAGCAUUCACCAUCAUGUGCUGGAAGUUUGCAACGUUUUUCUUCAACUU
Molecule: small nucleolar RNA, 106 nt
Organism: Lactuca sativa (garden lettuce)
Lineage: Eukaryota; Viridiplantae; Streptophyta; Magnoliopsida; Asterales; Asteraceae
Source: RefSeq, a predicted model, not a curated record